AUUGAACGCUGGCGGCAGGCUUAACACAUGCAAGUCGAGCGAGCGGCGGACGGGUGAGUAAUGUCUGGGAAACUGCCUGGUGGAGGGGGAUAACUACUGGAAACGGUAGCUAAUACCGCAUACCAUCAGAUGUGCCCAGAUGGGAUGAGCUAGUAGGUUGGGUAAUGGCGGACCUAGGCGACGAUCCCUAGCUGGUCUGAGAGGAUGACCAGCCACACUGGAAUGGAGAGACGGUCCAGACUCCUACGGGAGGCAGCAGGGGGGAAUAUUGGACAAUGGGCGCAAGCCGGACACAGCCAUGCCGCGUGUGUGAAGAAGGCCUUCGGGUUGUAAAGCACUUUCAGAGAGGAUGCGGUACUCGCAGAAGAAGCACCGGCUAACUACGUGCCAGCAGCCGCGGUAAUUC
RNAcentral lists this ribosomal RNA (406 nucleotides) under uncultured bacterium. RNAcentral's name for it is "partial 16S ribosomal RNA". It matches the Rfam family "Bacterial small subunit ribosomal RNA", at positions 29 to 526 of the family's 1533-position model. The record is from RNAcentral.